Molecule: long non-coding RNA, 2224 nt
Organism: Osmerus eperlanus (European smelt)
Lineage: Eukaryota; Metazoa; Chordata; Actinopteri; Osmeriformes; Osmeridae
Exons: 11
Source: RefSeq, a predicted model, not a curated record
GUGGUGAGGGGGCUCCAUUUUGUCGAACACCCUCCUCUGCUGUGGCGUGUUUGAACAGAACAAUUGUUUAUUUGUUCUUUCUCACGAUCGUUGGGUCACAAAGCAAAGGAGCGUUAAAGGGGGCUUGAUAAAUAGGAUGCUGCUACAGGAGUCCAGGAUGGUCCAAUGUGCUGUGUGCUGGUUCGCUUUGCUCCAGUGGUGUCAUUCAGUAGGAAUAACACAGUACGCUGGUCAAACCUACUAUGUCUGCCUUCGGAAACGUUUCUCUCUUGACUUCUCAUUUGCCCGGCAACAUCCUCUAUUCUAAAUAAACUGUUUGCGAAUAGUUCCUGAAAUAUAAUUUUUGUUUUCAUUUUGAGUGUAUGAACCAAAAUGAGAUGUAGUAGUGGAUGGAGAAUGUGAAAGAUUGACCUCCUAUUAUGUUUGUUGGGGUCAAACUAUGUCAGAUAUAGUAAUUUUCUCCUUUUUCCGGAAAUCCUUUUAUCAGUAAUAUGCAAGAUUACGUAAAAUAGAUAAACAUACAUUGGUUUUGUUUGGGCAGGACCAUGAUGAUGUAAUGGGGGGGGGGGGGUUAGAGAACCCCUUUGUACUGAUAAAAUUGCAUAUUCCUGGCGAAUAAAUGCACACAAUGAUUGCCUCUGAUAAAAAUGUCAUGUUCACUAUAAACAGAAUUGUAACAGUUGAAUUCCGCAUUCUAUGUCUCAAGUAAACAUGUUCUGAAAUACGGAGACAUUGCUGAGAUUACAAACACAAAAGCCAUUUAUUUUCCAUGUUGUCUUUGUAAAUUAAUAUUGAAUUGAGGCCUUGCCAUACAUUUCAGUAUCACUCAGUAUCGCUUCAUAACAGAGCAAUCAAAACAAAAAAUUAUUUUUUAUUUCUUUGAAUCAUAACCAUUGAUUGUAUCAAAUCUCCAUGUUUAUUGAUGCAUAAUAUUAAAUCAUGAGUUUACCACAGUGGUCUGAAAGUUGCGGUAUUUACGUUCACGAUGACUAUUGAAGAACAACAUGCAAACUCCACACAGAAAAGAUGAGGGGGCAAACCCACCUUACCACCGAACAUUGCCCCAACUGCCGGCCUGUAUUGUAAUGUUCGUUGUUUACAAUAGAGUAUCAUUUUUUGUAUUUUAUUUUCCGUUAUAGUAUAUGAUAAACCAGUAGAAUAUAUAUAUAGUUUUUACAUUUGCGUUAAUUCCUGACUCAUUAGAAACAUGCAGCACUGUAAUCGCUUUCUAUGAGGGCCUUUAUUCCAUUGGGUAACGGACAAGGAAGGGUGUGGCCACAAGUUGUCUCCGCCAAUCCGGUCUAUGCAUACUGAGUCUCGGAUCAGCCUCAAAGAUACGAUUUUUGUUCCCAGCUGCCAUUGCGAGGACAGCUUUAUAAAACCAGCGUCAUCGUCUUCCAUCGGUCUCAAUCCUGUGGAACUUCUUGAGGUAUACUUGAAACUGCAUUUUGACGCUGCGAGGUCAACCGUCUCACCAGGUGUAUGAAGGCAAAGUGUUUCUCCAGGAUGAAGAUGCAGAAUACUAAGAUGCAGCGAUCUGACAGCAUGUUCCAUCUUGGCCCACAUGCAGAUGGAACCUCACCUGGGAAGGCACCCUGUGAUGAAACAACCUCAAGGCUGACUUUACUGCUGACUUGAAAAGCGACAGACAUGGUCUUCUGAGCCUGGUCCUCCGCUGUGCCUCCUGAGAAGCUUGAGAAGCGUGGGAGGCGGCGACUUGUCUGUAGGAAAGGCCCUGCGUUUGGUCUGGAAGGAUGAGGGGUUUGAUCCAGAGUAACAAGGUGGUUGUUGAUCCAAUCCAAGGUCCAGCAGUGCCAUGGUGACAUCCAGAAACCUUGUCCCUCUGAAAACAACAUGGUCUAGUCACUAAUGGAUGACGAGGCAAGUUCUUCCCCACAGAUCCUAGUGUGAGGGGACAAAGGUUUCAUGUAUGGACCGGCCCUCUUGGUCCCUUAAUGACCGGUGAGAUGUCGCUAUAGGAACGACGCUGAUGGCAUCAUACAUUUCCAGGCAACUUGAGUCAAGAGUUUGAAACGCGUCUGAAGGCAUCAGUUUGUGGCACAUGUCACUCCAGUGAUGAUGCCAGUGAACUGAACACAUGCAGAGUUGUCCACUGAAAUGUUAGUUGUCAUCCAUGCUGCUCUACCAAGAGCACUGCUAAUCUGUGCUUGUAGCCACAUACCACGUGUAAUUCUUUGUUAAAGCUACUAAUAAAGAUUUUCCU